CGUUUGGCAUCAACUCAGCAGGAAACACAAACAGUGGAGUCCUACAGGAAGCAGGCGGUCCUCUCUGGCAGUCUCUGGGUCUGUAGACACACCCUUCUCAUUCUCUGACACAGUUUCAGUAGAGGAACAACCACUACAGGUCUGAAGUCCACCCUGUGAAAAUAAUGGAUCAAGCCACAAGCUCCCAGAAAAACACCUCAAAAAUGGCUUUUCAGGUCGUCGUGGACAUACAUGGUGGACAGACGCUGUUGAUCGACCUGUGCGACACUGAGGAGCAGUUCAAGACCAUCACAGUGCUGCAGCUGAAGGAGAAGAUAUGUGAACAUACUGGCUGGCCAGUUGAGCGUGCGUGUGUGUACAGGCGCAAGUCAGAUGAUACAGAUGAUCCCCUAGCUUACUCCCUGGUUGAGUUCCUGGAUGACCGACGCCUGCUGUGUGAUUAUGGAAUCCAACACAUGACUAAGCUAGCUGCGAUGUAUAUGCCACUAGCGGGAGCAUCAGGACCAUCAUGGAAGGGAGAUGAAGGGAUAGGUGACAAGGACAAAAGCCAAAGUAUGGAAAGGCUUGCAGAUUUUAAACCAUAAAAAUAACACAACAGAACUGCACCUCAGUGACCCAAGCUCCCAAACAGUUCAAGUGUCACUCUUAGUGUAACAAAAACACAGGAUGUGGACAUUUUGAAGAACAAAGACUAAAAUAUAUCUACAAAAACAAACAUUUAAUGCCAUGAAUCCAACGCCAGUCAAUGAUCAAACUACUGGAAACUCAUCUCUGAGAAUCAAAAUUACACAAUAAGAUUUUUUAAUGAAAAUAAUCCCUUCUGAUCCUAUAAUGGCUUAGAUAUAACACUACACUGGUGCUUCCUUGUCACCUCUAUCUCCCCCUCCUCCUCUACCACUAACUGCAGCUUCAACACUGUAAAACUACUCUCUGCAACAACAAGACCAGCUGUCCUGAGAGUCAUACAUGACUGAAGCAGAAACCAGUUCUGCAGGAGGAGAAAGAUACAGAAAACGAAACCCUGCAAGCUGACAGGAUGACGGUCAUUGGGUCACAGCAGCUUGAAGACAGAAAUGCUGUUUAUUGAGCUCAUAAAAUGUCAUUAAAGAAAUGUUACAUUGUGUCAUGAUGUAUAUAGGUGAAGGGGUCCGUUAUUUUUAUUGGAUAUUAAACCACUUUUUCAGUC
Amphiprion ocellaris (clown anemonefish) is the source of this 1186-nucleotide long non-coding RNA. RefSeq lists it as uncharacterized. The record is from RefSeq and is a predicted model, not a curated record. NCBI's taxonomy places the organism in Eukaryota, Metazoa, Chordata, Actinopteri, Pomacentridae. The transcript has 2 exons.